This 550-nucleotide ribosomal RNA is filed under the name uncultured bacterium. RNAcentral's name for it is "bacterial SSU rRNA". It matches the Rfam family "Bacterial small subunit ribosomal RNA", at positions 355 to 896 of the family's 1533-position model. The record is from RNAcentral.
UAGGGAAUCUUCCGCAAUGGACGCAAGUCUGACGGAGCAACGCCGCGUGAGUGAAGAAGGUCUUCGGAUCGUAAAGCUCUGUUGUUAGAGAAGAACAGCGCAUAGAGUAACUGUUAUGCGUGUGACGGUAUCUAACCAGAAAGCCACGGCUAACUACGUGCCAGCAGCCGCGGUAAUACGUAGGUGGCGAGCGUUGUCCGGAUUUAUUGGGCGUAAAGGGAGUGUAGGCGGUCUUUUAAGUCUGAUGUGAAAGCCCACGGCUCAACCGUGGAGGGUCAUUGGAAACUGGGAGACUUGAGUGCAGAAGAGGAGAGCGGAAUUCCAUGUGUAGCGGUGGAAUGCGUAGAUAUAUGGAGGAACACCAGUGGCGAAGGCGGCUCUCUGGUCUGUAACUGACGCUGAGGCUCGAAAGCGUGGGGAGCAAACAGGAUUAGAUACCCUGGUAGUCCACGCCGUAAACGAUGAGUGCUAAGUGUUGGAGGGGUUCCACCCUUCAGUGCUGGAGUUAACGCAAUAAGCACUCCGCCUGGGGAGUACGGCCGCAAGGCUG